GACGAACGCUGGCGGCGUGCUUAACACAUGCAAGUCGAACGGUAAGGCCCUUCGGGGUACACGAGUGGCGAACGGGUGAGUAACACGUGGGUGAUCUGCCCUGCACUUCGGGAUAAGCCUGGGAAACUGGGUCUAAUACCGAAUGAGGUGGCGACUCAUGAGAGUCGUCACGAAAGGAAGCUUCGGCCUCCGCGAAGGGAUGAGCCCGCGGCCCAUUAGCUUGUUGGUGGGGUAAUGGCCUACCAAGGCAACGAUGGGUAGCUGGUCUGAGAGGACGAUCAGCCACACUGGGACUGGGACACGGCCCAGACUCCUACGGGAGGCUGCAGUGGGGAAUCUUGCGCAAUGAGCGACAGCUUGACGCAGCAACGCCGCGUGAGGGAAGAAGGCUUUCGGGUCGUAAACCUCUUUCAGUUAGGACGAAGCUUUAUUGGUUAAUAACCAAUUGGAGUGACGGUACUUUCAGAAGAAGCCCCGGCUAAC
Molecule: ribosomal RNA, 483 nt
Filed under: uncultured bacterium
Lineage: Bacteria
Description: partial 16S ribosomal RNA
Rfam family: Bacterial small subunit ribosomal RNA
Source: RNAcentral